AGAGUUUGAUCAUGGCUCAGAUUGAACGCUGGCGGAAUGCUUUACACAUGCAAGUCGAACGGCAGCACGGGGCAACCUGGUGGCGAGUGGCGAACGGGUGAGUAAUACAUCGGAACGUGCCCAAUCGUGGGGGAUAACGUAGCGAAAGUUACGCUAAUACCGCAUACGAUCUACGGAUGAAAGCGGGGGAUCGCAAGACCUCGCGCGAGUGGAGCGGCCGAUGUCAGAUUAGGUAGUUGGUGGGGUAAAGGCUCACCAAGCCAACGAUCUGUAGCUGGUCUGAGAGGGCGACCAGCCACACUGGAACUGAGACACGGUCCAGACUCCUACGGGAGGCAGCAGUGGGGAAUUUUGGACAAUGGGGGCAACCCUGAUCCAGCCAUUCCGCGUGAGUGAAGAAGGCCUUCGGGUUGUAAAGCUCUUUCAGCAGGAACGAAACGGUGGCCACUAAUACUGGCUACUAAUGACGGUACCUGAAGAAGAAGCACCAGCUAACUACGUG
RNAcentral lists this ribosomal RNA (502 nucleotides) under uncultured bacterium. Its description in RNAcentral is "bacterial SSU rRNA". It matches the Rfam family "Bacterial small subunit ribosomal RNA", at positions 8 to 507 of the family's 1533-position model. The record is from RNAcentral.